Molecule: ribosomal RNA, 497 nt
Filed under: uncultured bacterium
Lineage: Bacteria
Description: partial 16S ribosomal RNA
Rfam family: Bacterial small subunit ribosomal RNA
Source: RNAcentral
GAUGAACGCUGGCGGCGUGCCUAAUACAUGCAAGUCGAGCGGACGGACGAGAAGCUUGCUGCUCUGAUGUUAGCGGCGGACGGGUGAGUAACACGUGGAUAACCUACCUAUAAGACUGGGAUAACUUCGGGAAACCGGAGCUAAUACCGUAUAAUAUUUUGAACCGCAGGGUUCAAAAGUAAAAGACGGUCUUGCGGUCACUUAUAGAUGGAUCCGCGCUGCAUGAGCUAGUUGUUAAGGUAACGGCUUACCAAGGCAACGAGGCAUAGCCGAGCUGAGAGGGGGAUCGCCCACCCUGGAACUGAGCCACGGUCAAGACUACUACGGGAGGCAGCAGUAGGGAACCUUCCGCAAUGGGCGAAAGCCUGACGGAGCAACGCCGCGUGAGUGAUGAAGGUCUUCGGAUCGUAAAACUCUGUUAUUAGGGAAGAACAUAUGUGUAAGUAAAUGUGCACAUCUUGACGGUACCUAAUCAGAAAGCAACGGCUAACUACGUG